ACCAGUACAUCGGCAACAUUACUUCACAUAACUUCAACAACAAUUCAUCAACAAAACUUUGCUCAACAACGCGGCAACAAUGACUUGACAAUGCAACAACAACAACUCGACAAUGCAACAAUAACAACUCAACAAAUGCAAUAUGCAUGUGGUACCAUCAGAGCAUAAAGCUCUCUUCGCUAAUGUCGUAAUUCGACUUGACAGACUACAACUCCCUUCGCUAAUGUCAUAGUUCGACAUGUCAGGCUACAACCCCUUCGCUUAAAUUGAUUAUGUAUUGACACAACCAAUGCAACAACAACAACAACAACAACAACACCAACAACAUCAACAACGACUUCGCAUUAUGACUUCAUAAUUCAUCAAUCAUGAACAACAUCAUAUAACAUCAUAUUCAUCAACAUAUACAUUCAUAUAGAUAUUAAAUCAUCCAACAAAGAUAUUCACAUCAAACUAAGACCACUGGGAAGAUAAUACAAUUAUUGAGUAUGUGCUUGUGGAGACUCAAGAUGAGAGAGAGAUUGAUGAAGUGAAAGAAACUUUUCCCAGUGGUAGCAACAUGAGAAGAUACCACUUAAGCUGAAGAUGAUGAGCAAGAGGAGAGCAGUACCUACUUGAGGUGGGGAAAGAUCUGGGCUCUCCAUCAUCAUAUACCUUUGAUAAUCUCUUAUAACUUGCUUGUUCUGAUGCCAGUGGUGUUAUUCUUCUUAAAAUACUACUACUCAUAUAUGGAUGUGUGUGUAGUUGAGGAAAUUAAGGAAGGAUU
Molecule: long non-coding RNA, 766 nt
Filed under: Medicago truncatula (barrel medic)
Lineage: Eukaryota; Viridiplantae; Streptophyta; Magnoliopsida; Fabales; Fabaceae
Description: long non-coding RNA (MTRU_LNC005345)
Source: RNAcentral